UCACCAAUAAAUAGCGUGGGUUCCCAGAG
RNAcentral lists this non-coding RNA (29 nucleotides) under Homo sapiens (human). Lineage: Eukaryota; Metazoa; Chordata; Mammalia; Primates; Hominidae. The record is from RNAcentral.